Molecule: ribosomal RNA, 600 nt
Filed under: Thalassoma hardwicke
Lineage: Eukaryota; Metazoa; Chordata; Actinopteri; Labriformes; Labridae
Description: partial 16S ribosomal RNA
Rfam family: Bacterial large subunit ribosomal RNA
Source: RNAcentral
UUAUCAAAAACAUCGCCUCUUGCAAAACUAACGAAUAAGAGGUCACGCCUGCCCGGUGACUUUAAGUUUAACGGCCGCGGUAUUUUGACCGUGCAAAGGUAGCGCAAUCACUUGUCUUUUAAAUGGAGACCUGUAUGAAUGGCAUCACGAGGGCUUAACUGUCUCCUUUCUCUGGCCAAUGAAAUUGAUCUCCCCGUGCAGAAGCGGGGAUAAAAACAUAAGACGAGAAGACCCUAUGGAGCUUUAGACACCAAGACAGCUUACGUCAAAGGCCUCAUAUAAAAGAUUGAACUACAUAAAUCUCUGUCCUAAUGUCUUCGGUUGGGGCGACCCUGGGGAGAUAAAGAACCCCCAUGAGGACUGGAGAGAUAUCUCCAAAACUAAGAGCUCCCGCUCUAAGAAGCAGAACUUCUGACUGCAAGAUCCGGCAACGCCGAUCAACGGACCGAGUUACCCUAGGGAUAACAGCGCAAUCCUCUUCUAGAGCCCUUAUCGACGAGGGGUUUACGACCUCGAUGUUGGAUCAGGACAUCCUAAUGGUGCAGCCGCUAUUAAGGGUUCGUUUGUUCAACGAUUAAAGUCCUACGUGAUCUGAGUUCA